UGCCGGUGUUUAAACCGGAGGAAGGUGGGGAUGACGUCAAGUCCUCAUGGCCUUUAUGUCUAGGGCUACACACGUGCUACAAUGGGUGGUACAAAGAGCAGCUAACUCGCGAGAGUAUGCAAAUCUCAAAAGCCAUCCUCAGUUCGGAUUGGAGUCUGCAACUCGACUCCAUGAAGUUGGAAUCGCUAGUAAUCGCGGAUCAGCAUGCCGCGGUGAAUACGUUCCCGGGCCUU
This 233-nucleotide ribosomal RNA is filed under the name uncultured Smithella sp. Its description in RNAcentral is "partial 16S ribosomal RNA". It matches the Rfam family "Bacterial small subunit ribosomal RNA", at positions 1150 to 1382 of the family's 1533-position model. The record is from RNAcentral. Lineage: Bacteria; Pseudomonadati; Thermodesulfobacteriota; Syntrophia; Syntrophales; Smithellaceae.